RNAcentral lists this ribosomal RNA (497 nucleotides) under uncultured bacterium. RNAcentral describes it as "partial 16S ribosomal RNA". It matches the Rfam family "Bacterial small subunit ribosomal RNA", at positions 28 to 507 of the family's 1533-position model. The record is from RNAcentral.
GAUGAACGCUGGCGGCGUGCCUAAUACAUGCAAGUCGAGCGAACAGACGAGGAGCUUGCUCCUCUGACGUUAGCGGCGGACGGGUGAGUAACACGUGGAUAACCUACCUAUAAGACUGGGAUAACUUCGGGAAACCGGAGCUAAUACCGGAUAAUAUAUUGAACCGCAUGGUUCAAUAGUGAAAGACGGUUUUGCUGUGACUUGUAGAUGGAUCCGCGCCGCAUUAGCUAGGUGGUAAGGUAACGGCUUACCAAGGCAACGAUGCGUAGCCGACCUGAGAGGGUGAUCAGCCACACUGGAACUGAGACACGGUCCAGACUCCUACGGGAGGCAGCAGUAGGGAAUCUUGCGCAAUGGGCGAAAGCCUGACGGAGCAACGCCGCGUGAGUGAUGAAGGUCUUCGGAUCGUAAAACUCUUUUAUUAGGGAAGAACAAAUGUGUAAGUAACUAUGCACGUCUUGACGGUACCUAAUCAGAAAGCCACGGCUAACUACGUG